This 430-nucleotide ribosomal RNA is filed under the name Pseudomonadota bacterium. RNAcentral's name for it is "Proteobacteria bacterium partial 16S ribosomal RNA". It matches the Rfam family "Bacterial small subunit ribosomal RNA", at positions 355 to 776 of the family's 1533-position model. Lineage: Bacteria; Pseudomonadati; Pseudomonadota. The record is from RNAcentral.
UGGGGAAUAUUGGACAAUGGGGGGAACCCUGAUCCAGCCAUGCCGCGUGUGUGAAGAAGGCCUUAUGGUUGUAAAGCACUUUAAGCGAGGAGGAGGGUACUGGUAUUAAUACUACCAGGUACUGGACGUUACUCGCAGAAUAAGCACCGGCUAACUCUGUGCCAGCAGCCGCGGUAAUACAGAGGGUGCGAGCGUUAAUCGGAUUUACUGGGCGUAAAGCGUGCGUAGGCGGCUAAUUGAGUCGGAUGUGAAAUCCCCGAGCCUAACUUGGGAAUUGCAUUCGAUACUGGUUAGCUAGAGUGUGGGAGAGGAUGGUAGAAUUCCAGGUGUAGCGGUGAAAUGCGUAGAGAUCUGGAGGAAUACCGAUGGCGAAGGCAGCCAUCUGGCCUAACACUGACGCUGAGUUACGAAAGAAUGGGGAGCAAACAGG